GGAACGGUCCUUGGCAUCACUGUGGCUCUACGAGACCAGCCAUUUUUAAAGGAACCAGGCUGCGGCCCUCACUCGGUCUGAGCCAAGCUUCCUCCUGCACCAUGAGGGGCGUGGAUGGCACCCCCAGCCAGCACACCCAAUGUGUGUCUGCACCCCAGCAAACACCCACCCCUUUGCCCCCUUGCUGGGCUGGGACUGUGUGGUCUCUCCAUGGAUGGAUGAAUCCCCGAAGACACUGCAUUUAUGGCCCUGGACACGGACUCAGGGCCAUCUGGGCACGACAUCUCCAGGGCCCAGGACCUGCAGCAUGGUCCAGAAGGGGGACGCUUCUCCUUCGUCCCACAGACCCCUUGCCCUACGGGGACGGGCACGGCCAGGACAGCGCCCCGCUUGCCCCAGUGUGAAGAUCAUGGGCUGACCAAAGAGCAGGUGAAUGAUUUUCUGCAUUCCAUCAACUUACUUCAGUUGUGGUUGUGUUUGAUCUGCUGGUAUUCGGGAAGAAUCGCUACUGACACCCAGAAUCCAAUCAACACAUUCGGUUUUGCAAAACAGACAUUCAGAGAAACGUAA
RNAcentral lists this long non-coding RNA (570 nucleotides) under Felis catus (domestic cat). RNAcentral's name for it is "lncRNA (ENSFCAG00000047587.1)". Lineage: Eukaryota; Metazoa; Chordata; Mammalia; Carnivora; Felidae. The record is from RNAcentral.